AAAAAAAAAAAAAAACCUUCUCUCUUACAAAAUCCUCUCACUCUUGAGCUCACAUAGCGCUCUCUCUCUCUCUUUCUCAUAUGAAAUUUCGACGGAAAACAGCUUUUGGGAUUGUCCGAAACCUGUAGAAGACAAGAGAUAGAGAUAAGAUUUUUUUUUUUUUGAAACUAAGUAAUAGUUUCUCAGGAUACAAAACAUCAGAUGAUCCAAAUUCAAAUUAUCUCCAAUAUGCUAAUAAUUAAAUGAUUUUAUUAAACAUUUCCUAUCAUGAUACCUGAACAUGUGCUAAAGUCGCCACUCUUUCUUUUUUUUUUUUUUUUGGCUUAUUAUUUGUAAAGACUUAUUUGUAAGAGGAUCAGCACUGAAAGCUCAUUGGGUGGGGUAGGGCCGUAGGGGUUAAAGAUGAUUGGAAUUUUUAUGACCUUUGAUUUUUCUUGCUCCUGCAGGGUUCUCUGCAAGUUCUUUGCUCAUUGUGAGUUUUCACAUGAUUGGAAGGAUCCUCCACAUAACAUUUGCACCUAUUAUCAGAAAGGACUUUGUGCAUGUGGUAGUCGUUGCAGAUAUGAACAUGUUAAUGCUUCUCGAGGCCAUUCUUCUGCUUCAUCUUCAUCAACAAACGCACGCCAAAUGCAUGUCAAAGUUCCUGAAAGUGUUGGUCCAUUGAUUGCAAGCACUUCGAUUUUGGGAAUGGAAACCGCCCAUUUGGGAGUAGUUGAUUUUAUAAGCAUGCAUAUCAAGAUGGCCGUCUAGAGGAGGUAGUUCUACGUCAUCUUGGGUCUGAAGAUGGAGAAACUGUGAUAGCUAAAAAUAUUAGGCUGUCAGAGUUCGUUGGUAACAUGCGUAUAAGGUAAAUAGAUGCUAUUUUAUAGUCUAGAGAUAUCUAAUGAUAUGGAGAAACCAUGCGCCACUUCAAUUGCUGAGUUCUUUUCAAAUGCCAGUGUGGCACUCCAGUUGUUUUUAAGUUAUGAUGCAAUAGAGAUAUUUAUAUGCUUUUCUAAGAUUUGUGUAAGUUGAUGGUUGCUCAGUUGGACCCCAGAAGUGACCUUCAAUGUCUCUUUGCUUUACAAAUAUAUAUUUUGGUUCCAUUGCCUGUUCUGCCUAGUUGUACUAAUUCACCUUUCAAUGGUGAGAUGUUUGAUUCUACCUGUUAUGGGUGUUGGCAAUUUUAGGUUUUGGUAUUUUUUUGGUCCAACAAAGUGAUUUAGAGGUUGGGUCUUGGUGCGAUGUCAAGUGCCUUCCACAAAAAGUAAACAAGUUGUGGGUUUGACCUUGGUAUUUGACUUGAUGAUUGGUUCUUAUUUCUAAGUUUAUAUUGAUAACUUGGAUUGACAUGAAAUUAUUGGACGGUUCUUACAACUAAUGCCAAAUGAAAUAUGCAGUAAUAGUUUAUAGGUCAUAAGCUUUUGUUAGGAUAUAAAUUUACCGUACAAAUCAGGCUUCAAGAUUCUUCUACAAAUCUGUGAAUCCUAGGAAUUCUUUCUCCAUGUCCCUUCUUUUUAAUUAAUUUAUGAUUAAAAAAAACAACAGGAAAAAGUCAAG
This is an RNA transcript of Quercus lobata, 1539 nucleotides long. It is a transcript of the gene named putative RING-type E3 ubiquitin transferase C3H69, with no coding region annotated. The transcript is spliced from 6 exons. NCBI's taxonomy places the organism in Eukaryota, Viridiplantae, Streptophyta, Magnoliopsida, Fagales, Fagaceae. The record is from RefSeq and is a predicted model, not a curated record.